AGAGAAUAGAUACCCUGGUAGUCCACGCCCUAAACGAUGGAUACUAGGCGUAGGAGGUAUCGACCCCUCCUGUGCCGCAGCAAACGCAUUAAGUAUCCCGCCUGGGGAGUACGGCCGCAAGGUUGAAACUCAAAUGAAUUGACGGGGACCCGGCACAAGCGGUGGAGCAUGUGGAUUAAUUCGAUACUAACCGAAGAACCUUACCCACUCUUGACAUUGAAGGAAAGGCAUAGAGAUAUGUCCCUCGCCCACAAGGCGACCUGAAAACAGAUGUUGCAUGGCUGUCGUCAGCUCGUGCCGUGAGGUGUACGGUUAAGUCCGCCAACGAGCGCAACCCUCGUUCUGUGUUACCAGCGAGUAAAGUCGGGCACUCACAGGAGACCGCCGGUGUAAGCCGGAGGAAGGUGGGGAUGAUGUCAAGUCAGCAUGGCUCUUACGAGUGGGGCUUCACACAUGCUACAAUGGGCGCAACAAAGGGCCGCGAUACCGUGAGGUGGAGCAAAUCCCAAAAAUACGUCCUCAGUUCAGAUU
RNAcentral lists this ribosomal RNA (531 nucleotides) under uncultured bacterium. Its description in RNAcentral is "bacterial SSU rRNA". It matches the Rfam family "Bacterial small subunit ribosomal RNA", at positions 774 to 1299 of the family's 1533-position model. The record is from RNAcentral.